This 228-nucleotide long non-coding RNA is filed under the name Panax ginseng (ginseng). Its description in RNAcentral is "long non-coding RNA (PGIN_LNC011045)". The record is from RNAcentral. Lineage: Eukaryota; Viridiplantae; Streptophyta; Magnoliopsida; Apiales; Araliaceae.
UUCAGUUUCUUAACUCUACUACUCAUCCGUUCCAAACCAUUUCUUUCCAUUCUCUUUUACUUGCAAAUUUCUAGCACAAAUUUACUCCCGAAUUUUACUAAACCAUCGAAUUAGCAAUUACUUGAAGAAUUGAGUAAAUUUUUGUUGAUGGUUAUUAUAAUUAGAAAAGGGCCUGAAUUGAUAUCUGUUUUGGGUUACCUGUCUUGGCUGGGUAAUGUGAAUUGGAAA